This 191-nucleotide small nucleolar RNA is filed under the name Microcebus murinus (gray mouse lemur). RNAcentral describes it as "Small nucleolar RNA SNORA73 family (ENSMICG00000024046.3)". It matches the Rfam family "Small nucleolar RNA SNORA73 family". From Rfam's summary of the family: U17 (SNORA73A and SNORA73B) also known as E1 belongs to the H/ACA class of small nucleolar RNAs (snoRNAs). Vertebrate U17 is intron-encoded and ranges in length from 200-230 nucleotides, longer than most snoRNAs. The record is from Rfam by way of RNAcentral. Lineage: Eukaryota; Metazoa; Chordata; Mammalia; Primates; Cheirogaleidae.
CCAACGUGGGUACACUCGGGCGGUCUCUCUCCCGGGCCCUGUCCAGGCGGUGUGGGGGAGCGCAGGGCUCUGUCCCAUCGUGUACAUCCCCUUUCCACGACGUGGAAGCGCACUGGGCCUGGAGUCUGCACCUGCAGCUGCUCAGAGCCCUGUGGGCGUGACCAAGGGGACCAGCCCCGCAGAAAACAGCC